RNAcentral lists this transfer RNA (75 nucleotides) under Veillonella sp. RNAcentral describes it as "tRNA-Ile". It matches the Rfam family "tRNA". From Rfam's summary of the family: Transfer RNA (tRNA) molecules are approximately 80 nucleotides in length. Their secondary structure includes four short double-helical elements and three loops (D, anti-codon, and T loops). The record is from RNAcentral. Lineage: Bacteria; Bacillati; Bacillota; Negativicutes; Veillonellales; Veillonellaceae.
GCGCCUAUAGCUCAGUGGUAGAGCCAUCGGCUCAUAACCGAUUGGUCCCUGGUUCGAACCCAGGUGGGCGCACCA